RNAcentral lists this ribosomal RNA (497 nucleotides) under uncultured bacterium. RNAcentral's name for it is "partial 16S ribosomal RNA". It matches the Rfam family "Bacterial small subunit ribosomal RNA", at positions 28 to 507 of the family's 1533-position model. The record is from RNAcentral.
GAUGAACGCUGGCGGCGUGCCUAAUACAUGCAAGUCGAGCGAACAGACGAGGAGCUUGCUCCUCUGACGUUAGCGGCGGACGGGUGAGUAACACGUGGAUAACCUACCUAUAAGACUGGGAUAACUUCGGGAAACCGGAGCUAAUACCGGAUAAUAUAUUGAACCGCAUGGUUCAAUAGUGAAAGACGGUUUUGCUGUCACUUAUAGAUGGAUCCGCGCCGCAUUAGCUAGUUGGUAAGGUAACAGCUUACCAAGGCAACGAUGCGUAGCCGACCUGAGAGGGUGAUCGGCCACACUGGAACUGAGACACGGUCCAGACUCCUACGGGAGGCAGCAGUAGGGAAUCUUCCGCAAUGGGCGAAAGCCUGACGGAGCAACGCCGCGUGAGUGAUGAAGGUCUUCGGAGCGUAAAACUCUGUUAUUAGGGAAGAACAAAUGUGUAAGUAACUAUGCACGUCUUGACGGUACCUAAUCAGAAAGCCACGGCUAACUACGUG